GACCCGAAACCCGGUGAUCUAGCCAUGGGCAGGUUGAAGGUUGGGUAACACUAACUGGAGGACCGAACCGACUAAUGUUGAAAAAUUAGCGGAUGACCUGUGGCUGGGGGUGAAAGGCCAAUCAAACCGGGAGAUAGCUGGUUCUCCCCGAAAGCUAUUUAGGUAGCGCCUCGUGAAUUCAUCUCCGGGGGUAGAGCACUGUUUCGGCUAGGGGGCCAUCCCGGCUUACCAACCCGAUGCAAACUGCGAAUACCGGAGAAUGUUAUCACGGGAGACACACGGCGGGUGCUAACGUCCGUCGUGAAGAGGGAAACAACCCAGACCGCCAGCUAAGGUCCCAAAGUCAUGGUUAAGUGGGAAACGAUGUGGGAAGGCCCAGACAGCCAGGAUGUUGGCUUAGAAGCAGCCAUCAUUUAAAGAAAGCGUAAUAGCUCACUGGUCGAGUCGGCCUGCGCGGAAGAUGUAACGGGGCUAAACCAUGCAC
RNAcentral lists this ribosomal RNA (484 nucleotides) under Salmonella enterica subsp. enterica serovar Potsdam. Its description in RNAcentral is "partial 23S ribosomal RNA". It matches the Rfam family "Bacterial large subunit ribosomal RNA", at positions 712 to 1194 of the family's 2925-position model. Lineage: Bacteria; Pseudomonadati; Pseudomonadota; Gammaproteobacteria; Enterobacterales; Enterobacteriaceae. RNAcentral also lists the same sequence under 1 other name. The record is from RNAcentral.